This is a non-coding RNA of Schizosaccharomyces pombe (fission yeast), 288 nucleotides long. The record is from the annotation of a GenBank genome assembly. NCBI's taxonomy places the organism in Eukaryota, Fungi, Ascomycota, Schizosaccharomycetes, Schizosaccharomycetales, Schizosaccharomycetaceae.
AGCAGCAAAAAUAAAUAUACAUGGCCAAACAUCGUUUUUACAAAAAGUUAAUAAAUGAACCUAUUAAAUGUACUAGUGUACGAUGGAUGUAAGGAAAUUAGGGCUGUAUAAAGAGAUAGGUUGCUAUAAAAAAUAUUUCGUCAGUCUACCAUUCACAACUGUACCUUCAACUUGAAUAUAAUUCAAUCUCAUGAGUAAAAUUAUAAAAUAAUAAAAAAAAAACGAAGAUUUAGUAUUAAAAAUCUCCAUAAAUGUGUUUGGAAAACGCUGGACACUGAAAUUUUAACG